GUUCUGGGAUAGCUCAGUUGGUAGAGCAUGAGACUCUUAAUCUCAAGGUUGUGGGUUCGAGUCCCACUUUGGGCA
Podarcis lilfordi (Lilford's wall lizard) is the source of this 75-nucleotide non-coding RNA. The record is from the annotation of a GenBank genome assembly. Lineage: Eukaryota; Metazoa; Chordata; Lepidosauria; Squamata; Lacertidae.